Armillaria luteobubalina is the source of this 93-nucleotide non-coding RNA. Lineage: Eukaryota; Fungi; Basidiomycota; Agaricomycetes; Agaricales; Physalacriaceae. The record is from the annotation of a GenBank genome assembly.
GCCCGCCUAGCUCAAUCGGAUAGAGCGUCAGACUCUUAAUCACUAGGCGGUUAGCUGAUCUGAAGGCUGCGAGUUCGACCCUCGCGGUGGGCU